Non-coding RNA from Jatropha curcas, 114 nucleotides. Lineage: Eukaryota; Viridiplantae; Streptophyta; Magnoliopsida; Malpighiales; Euphorbiaceae. The record is from RefSeq and is a predicted model, not a curated record.
UUUUGACGGACAAGGAAAAAUGGCAUGGGGAUGAAUAAUUGUCAUAAAGAUUCAAACUGCAAGAUGUUGCCUGUGAAUAUAAGGUUUGAUUUCAUUACCAAUAGCAAAGUCCAA